RNAcentral lists this ribosomal RNA (468 nucleotides) under uncultured bacterium. RNAcentral describes it as "partial 16S ribosomal RNA". It matches the Rfam family "Bacterial small subunit ribosomal RNA", at positions 28 to 507 of the family's 1533-position model. The record is from RNAcentral.
GACGAACGCUGGCGGCGUGCUUAAUACAUGCAAGUCGAACGGACAGGCCCUGCUUUUGUGGGGUGCUCGAGUGGCGAACGGGUGAGUAACACGUGAGUAAACUGCCCUUGACUUUGGGGUAACUUCAGGAAACUGGGGCUCAUACCGGAUAGGAGCUCCUGCUGCAUGGUGGGGGUUGGAAAGUUUCGGCGGUUGGGGAUGGACUCGCGGCUUAUCAGCUUGUUGGUGGGGUAGUGGCUUACCAAGGCUUUGACGGGUAGCCGGCCUGAGAGGGUGACCGGCCACAUUGGGACUGAGAUACGGCCCAGACUCCUACGGGAGGCAGCAGUGGGGAAUAUUGCACAAUGGGCGGAAGCCUGAUGCAGCAACGCCGCGUGCGGGAUGACGGCCUUCGGGUUGUAAACCGCUUUCGCCUGUGACGAAGCGUGAGUGACGGUAAUGGGUAAAGAAGCACCGGCUAACUACGUG